RNAcentral lists this long non-coding RNA (247 nucleotides) under Elaeis guineensis (African oil palm). Its description in RNAcentral is "long non-coding RNA (EGUI_LNC020589)". Lineage: Eukaryota; Viridiplantae; Streptophyta; Magnoliopsida; Arecales; Arecaceae. The record is from RNAcentral.
AUUUAAAUUAUAGGUGCGAGAUGUAGAUUUUGGAGUGAUUUGUUGAUCCCUAUGCUUUGAAUUUAUAAUUUUCUCAUCUUCUACAUUUGAAUUUGUUAUGUUUUUCUUUAUGAUUUUAUCUCUUAUUGAGUUUUUUUUUCAGACUUUCUUUUGUGACUCACUUUUUUCUCUUACAUAGUUUCUGUUUUAUAGCAGGUCUCUAUUUUAUAGCAUCCAGCCUACUCUCUAAGGUCAGUAAACAGGCCAC